CCUGGCUCAGAUUGAACGCUGGCGGCAGGCCUAACACAUGCAAGUCGAGCGGAUGAGAAGAGCUUGCUCUUCGAUUCAGCGGCGGACGGGUGAGUAAUACCUAGGAAUCUGCCUGGUAGUGGGGGACAACGUUUCGAAAGGAACCGUAAUACCGCAUACGUCCUACGGGAGAAAGCAGGGGACCUUCGGGCCUUGCGCUAUCAGAUGAGCCUAGGUCGGAUUAGCUAGUUGGUGAGGUAAUGGCUCACCAAGGCGACGAUCCGUAACUGGUCUGAGAGGAUGAUCAGUCACACUGGAACUGAGACACGGUCCAGACUCCUACGGGAGGCAGCAGUGGGGAAUAUUGGACAAUUGGCNNNNGCCUGAUCCAGCCAUGCCGCGUGUGUGAAGAAGGUCUUCGGAUUGUAAAGCACUUUAAGUUGGGAGGAAGGGCAUUAACCUAAUACGUUAGUGUUUUGACGUUACCGACAGAAUAA
This 476-nucleotide ribosomal RNA is filed under the name Pseudomonas sp. VTT E-022106. Its description in RNAcentral is "bacterial SSU rRNA". It matches the Rfam family "Bacterial small subunit ribosomal RNA", at positions 18 to 489 of the family's 1533-position model. Lineage: Bacteria; Pseudomonadati; Pseudomonadota; Gammaproteobacteria; Pseudomonadales; Pseudomonadaceae. The record is from RNAcentral.